CAAGCACCUCGGUAGGUGAGGCGUCUGCAUGGACACAGGCCACUGACCCCGAACGUCGAGAGACGCCCCGGGUCAGGACAGCUCUUCCCGGACCCAAGGGUUGAGCCCAAGUGGCUUCCGGAGUAAUCCAGAUACGCCGUGCAGUGCCGAAGCUCCGACGAGAGGGGUGCGGU
Molecule: small RNA, 173 nt
Filed under: Mycobacterium saskatchewanense
Lineage: Bacteria; Bacillati; Actinomycetota; Actinomycetes; Mycobacteriales; Mycobacteriaceae
Description: Magnesium sequence
Rfam family: M-box riboswitch aptamer (ykoK leader)
About the family: M-box riboswitch, also know as ykoK leader is described as a metaloregulatory RNA that sense divalent metals and function as a genetic control element of genes related to divalent metal transport in bacteria. It was first reported upstream of the B.subtilis ykoK gene and genes with related functions in other bacteria.
Source: Rfam by way of RNAcentral